UGCAGUUCAAUCGCCUUUAAGCAGCGUCUGUUUUCACGUUCGCCCUCAACCUAUUUUGUCCUACUGAGAGACCCUUCAGUCUCCAUGACAACACAGCUGCUGUCAUAAGCUAACUCGCUAACUACAGAUUGUUUUCAACUGCAAACAAGUAAAAAUCUGGCCUUUUCUACUGUUUAGGACAAACCCCCGAUCCUACCUUGAACGUGGUAGCGUUGCUAUCCGUGACUCAUUUAUGAGAGUAUAGGAACACACAGAACGAAUUCCCAGAGAUGUGAGCCUUGUAACCAUUACAGAUGUCGUCUCAGAAAGAGACAAUGCAAGUGCUGCCUAUUUGGGAGCUUGCCAUCCCUCUCCCAGCGGUGCUGAUGAUUACUGUGAGUUUUUACAUGAUCAUCCUUGGAAUUGGGCUGUUGAUCCGAUUCUGUCUCAAGGUUGGUACUGCUAACAUAAAAAAAAGAGCAGUGAGGCCUUUGUCUUCACUAUAGUUUGUAAAAUGUAAAUAAAUAUAUGUUGUUUACUGCCACUUGCACUUAAAUUAGAAGCCGGGUUGUGGAUGGAAAGCUGCCUCUAAAACCUCUGGUUUUGAUUUAUAAAUACCAAUAUGAGCAUAAAAUUCAACUCACCAUUUGUUUUAGAAUGUGAAAAGUUGUGGUUUGGGAACUGCACUGCACCAGACCCACAGUGCACUGCUAGGACACCUCUAUCAAAGGAAAUUUUUCUGAGGGUUUUUUCUCAGAUGUUGUGGACAUUUGGGGAAAUGGCCAGGCCAUAGGAUUGGUUAACUGUCACUGCAGAUCAUCAUAUUUUAUAAAAACACAAUGUUAUUCUAUUGGAAUAAUUUUUUGGAUGCUAUAAUCAUAUAAAAUUAUACACAAAGUGGCCUUAAGGGUUCAGAGUAGUUUGGUCAUCUUAAAAAUACAGGACAGUAAAUUCUUAUUACUUAUAUUAUUGGUGGAGUUAACCCUUAUCCUAACCUUUAUUGUCAUUGUAACAUGUACAACAAAAUUUUAGAGUGACCUCCAGUUGGUACAGCUAUAGAAAAAACAUAAC
This is a long non-coding RNA of Monopterus albus (swamp eel), 1050 nucleotides long. RefSeq lists it as uncharacterized. The transcript is spliced from 3 exons. The record is from RefSeq and is a predicted model, not a curated record. Lineage: Eukaryota; Metazoa; Chordata; Actinopteri; Synbranchiformes; Synbranchidae.